GACGAACGCUGGCGGCGUGCUUAACACAUGCAAGUCGUACGGAAAGGCCCUUCUGGGGGUGCAUGCGUGGCUAACGGGCGAGUGACAAGUGCGUAACUUGCCCACCCCUUUCGGAUAACUCUCUUCAGCUGGCUCUAAUUCUGACUAUGUAGUACUGCUGCCUGCUGGGGGUUGGAAGGAUCCGGCGGUUGUGGAUGGAUUCGCGGCCUAUCAGCUGGUUGGUGGGGUAGUGGCUUACCAAGGCGGCGACGGGUAGCCGGCCUGAGAGGGUGACCGGCCACAUUGGGACUGAGAUACGGCACAGACUCCUACGGGAGGCAGCAGUGGGGAAUAUUGCACAAUGGGCGGAAGCCUGAUGCAGCAACGCCGCGUGCGGGAUAACGGCCUUCGGGUUGUAAACCGCUUUCAGCAGGGACGAAGCGUGAGGGAAGGUAACGGGCAGAGGAAGCACGGGCAAACAAGUG
RNAcentral lists this ribosomal RNA (464 nucleotides) under uncultured bacterium. Its description in RNAcentral is "partial 16S ribosomal RNA". It matches the Rfam family "Bacterial small subunit ribosomal RNA", at positions 28 to 507 of the family's 1533-position model. The record is from RNAcentral.